This 497-nucleotide ribosomal RNA is filed under the name uncultured bacterium. RNAcentral describes it as "partial 16S ribosomal RNA". It matches the Rfam family "Bacterial small subunit ribosomal RNA", at positions 28 to 507 of the family's 1533-position model. The record is from RNAcentral.
GAUGAACGCUGGCGGCGUGCCUAAUACAUGCAAGUCGAGCGAACAGACGAGGAACUUGCUCCUCUGACGUUAGCGGCGGACGGGUGAGUAACACGUGGAUAACCUACCUAUAAGACUGGGAUAACUUCGGGAAACCGGAGCUAAUACCGGAUAAUAUAUUGAACCGCAUGGUUCAAUAGUGAAAGACGGUUUUGCUGUCACUUAUAGAUGGAUCCGCGCCGCAUUAGCUAGUUGGUAAGGUAACGGCUUACCAAGGCAACGAUGCGUAGCCGACCUGAGAGGGUGAUCGGCCACACUGGAACUGAGCCACGGUCCAGACUCCUACGGGAGGCAGCAGUAGGGAAUCUUCCGCAAUGGGCGAAAGCCUGACGGAGCAACGCCGCGUGAGUGAUGAAGGUCUUCGGAUCGUAAAACUCUGUUAUUAGGGAAGAACAAAUGUGUAAGUAACUAUGCACGUCUUGACGGUACCUAAUCAGAAAGCCACGGCUAACUACGUG